AUUGAACGCUGGCGGCAUGCUUUACACAUGCAAGUCGAACGGUAACAGGCCUUCGGGUGCUGACGAGUGGCGAACGGGUGAGUAAUGCAUCGGAACGUGCCCAGAGGUGGGGGAUAACGCAGCGAAAGCUGUGCUAAUACCGCAUGUGAUCUGAGGAUGAAAGCGGGGGACCAGGCAGCAAUGUUUGGCCUCGCGCCUUUGGAGCGGCCGAUGUCAGAUUAGGUAGUUGGUGGGGUAAAGGCCUACCAAGCCGACGAUCUGUAGCUGGUCUGAGAGGACGACCAGCCACACUGGGACUGAGACACGGCCCAGACUCCUAAGGGAGGCAGCAGUGGGGAAUUUUGGACAAUGGGCGCAAGCCUGAUCCAGCAAUGCCGCGUGCGGGAAGAAGGCCUUCGGGUUGUAAACCGCUUUUGUACGGAACGAAAAGGCUCUGGCUAAUACCUGGGGCUGAUGACGGUACCGUAAGAAUAAGCACCGGCUAACUACGUG
This 492-nucleotide ribosomal RNA is filed under the name uncultured bacterium. RNAcentral describes it as "partial 16S ribosomal RNA". It matches the Rfam family "Bacterial small subunit ribosomal RNA", at positions 30 to 507 of the family's 1533-position model. The record is from RNAcentral.